GACGAACGCUGGCGGCGUGCUUAACACAUGCAAGUCGAACGGAAAGGCCCCUGCUUGCAGGGGUGCUCGAGUGGCGAACGGGUGAGUAACACGUGGGUGAUCUGCCCUUCACUUCGGGAUAAGCCUGGGAAACUGGGUCUAAUACCGGAUAGGACCAAUCUUUAGUGUGGUUGGUGGAAAGUUUUUUCGGUGGAGGAUGAGCCCGCGGCCUAUCAGCUUGUUGGUGGGGUAAUGGCCUACCAAGGCGACGACGGGUAGCCGGCCUGAGAGGGUGGACGGCCACAUUGGGACUGAGACACGGCCCAG
This 306-nucleotide ribosomal RNA is filed under the name uncultured bacterium. RNAcentral describes it as "bacterial SSU rRNA". It matches the Rfam family "Bacterial small subunit ribosomal RNA", at positions 28 to 334 of the family's 1533-position model. The record is from RNAcentral.